AUGACAGAUAAUAUAAAGAAGCUUUGGAGGGAGUCGAGUGUAGACAGGGCCCAACCAUUCUCGCUGAUGCAUAUUGAUGGUUUCUCUUGCAAGUUUGUGCGGACCUAUCAUUGCUGGGAGGAUGGUGUAAUUGAAAUGGUCGAUUACAGCCAUGAAGACAUUCUUGACAUUAGGAAGACUUUGCUGUAUACCUGCGCAACUAACGAUGUGUUUGAUGUCUACUUCUGGGGUGAGUGGCUGGAUCUUGGUGAGCAUGACUACAGGUUCUUUGGCAGCCAGUUCUCGGAGCUCGAGCGCGUAGCUAUUAAUCUUAGCCAGGGGCGUUCUCCCAAAAAGACAAGAUCUGGUGUUAUGAGGGGCGGUUGGGAGCUCUGA
Molecule: ribosomal RNA, 375 nt
Filed under: Triticum aestivum (bread wheat)
Lineage: Eukaryota; Viridiplantae; Streptophyta; Magnoliopsida; Poales; Poaceae
Description: partial small subunit ribosomal RNA
Source: RNAcentral